This 322-nucleotide RNase P RNA is filed under the name Anaerosporomusa subterranea. Its description in RNAcentral is "Bacterial RNase P class B". It matches the Rfam family "Bacterial RNase P class B". From Rfam's summary of the family: Ribonuclease P (RNase P) is a ubiquitous endoribonuclease, found in archaea, bacteria and eukarya as well as chloroplasts and mitochondria. Lineage: Bacteria; Bacillati; Bacillota; Negativicutes; Acetonemataceae. The record is from Rfam by way of RNAcentral.
AUUAGGGUUGAUACGGUACUCGGUCUGUUGAGGAAAGUCCAUACUUCCACAGCCUGCGAUGGCUGUAGUGUUCGUGCCUGUCGCAAGACAGGGCGGGAGAUAUCUCCCGACGACGGCAAAAGCGGCUCACGUAGUCGCCAGUAGCUAUAAAGUGCCACAGAAACGAUACAGGUCGGCGACGGCCUGGUGCAAAGGUAAACUCCACGAGGAAGAAACCCAGUGUGUAGGGGAGCCCUCCGAAAGGAAACCGAACGGACGGAGGGGACAGCAGCUCGUCUGCUGUCAGAGAAAUGAUUCCUAGAACAGAAAAUGGCUUACGGCU